This 515-nucleotide ribosomal RNA is filed under the name Parazoanthus axinellae. Its description in RNAcentral is "partial 16S ribosomal RNA". It matches the Rfam family "Bacterial large subunit ribosomal RNA", at positions 2006 to 2474 of the family's 2925-position model. The record is from RNAcentral. RNAcentral also lists the same sequence under 1 other name. Lineage: Eukaryota; Metazoa; Cnidaria; Anthozoa; Zoantharia; Parazoanthidae.
GAAGGCCCCACUGUCUUAAGGAAAUUCCCAGUGAAAUUGAAUUCGUAGUGAAGAUGCUACGUCCAAUUUGUUAGACGAAAAGACCCCGUUGAGCUUUACUGGGGCACUUACACGGCCCCGGCCUUCAAGACUGGGUUGAUAAGCCAAGGCUUACCAUACCUAGGGACCGGCCGAAUUUAAAUGGGCGGCUUAGACUAUGUGGCAGCCCCCCCCGUCGGGGCAGAUGAAACCCCACUCCCCCAUGUCAAAGGGGCUAACCCCCCCCCUUGGGGGGGACAGUGUAAGUAGGACAGUUUGGUUGGGGCGACCGCCUUUUAGAGAGUAACGAAGGUGCGCUUAAGGUGCGUAAUUAAUGACUGAAGCCUGACUGCGAGGGGGACACCCCGAGCAGACACCCCCAAGCCCGCCCUCGCCUUCGUACCAACGGAGGGAGGGCGGCGGUGGGGUGGGCCAUAGUGACCCGUUAAUUUAGAGUGGAAUAGUUAACGAUCAACGAAUAAAAGUUACCACGGGGA